AGAAUUCGCCCUUAGAGUUUGAUCAUGGCUCAGGAUAAGUCGUAACAAGGUAACCGUAAGUCGUAACAAGGUAGCCGUAGAGUUUGAUCAUGGCUCAGAUUGAACGCUGGCGGCAGGCCUAACACAUGCAAGUCGAGCGGAUGAAGGGAGCUUGCUCUCUGAUUCAGCGGCGGACGGGUGAGUAAUGCCUAGGAAUCUGCCUAUUAGUGGGGGACAACGUUUCGAAAGGAACGCUAAUACCGCAUACGUCCUACGGGAGAAAGCAGGGGACCUUCGGGCCUUGCGCUAAUAGAUGAGCCUAGGUCGGAUUAGCUAGUUGGUGAGGUAAAGGCUCACCAAGGCAACGAUCCGUAACUGGUCUGAGAGGAUGAUCAGUCACACUGGAACUGAGACACGGUCCAGACUCCUACGGGAGGCAGCAGUGGGGAAUAUUGGACAAUGGGCGAAAGCCUGAUCCAGCCAUGCCGCGUGUGUGAAGAAGGUCUUCGGAUUGUGAAGCACUUUAAGUUGGGAGGAAGGGCAGUAAGUUAAUACCUUGCUGUUUUGACGUUACCGACAGAAUAAGCACCGGCUAACUUCGUGCCAGCAGCCGCGGUAAUACGAAGGGUGCAAGCGUUAAUCGGAAUUACUGGGCGUAAAGCGCGCGUAGGUGGUUCGUUAAGUUGGAUGUGAAAGCCCCGGGCUCAACCUGGGAACUGCAUCCAAAACUGGCGAGCUAGAGUAUGGCAGAGGGUGGUGGAAUUUCCUGUGUAGCGGUGAAAUGCGUAGAUAUAGGAAGGAACACCAGUGGCGAAGGCGACCACCUGGGCUAAUACUGACACUGAGGUGCGAAAGCGUGGGGAGCAAAUAGGAUUAG
This 856-nucleotide ribosomal RNA is filed under the name uncultured Pseudomonas sp. RNAcentral's name for it is "bacterial SSU rRNA". It matches the Rfam family "Bacterial small subunit ribosomal RNA", at positions 1 to 781 of the family's 1533-position model. Lineage: Bacteria; Pseudomonadati; Pseudomonadota; Gammaproteobacteria; Pseudomonadales; Pseudomonadaceae. The record is from RNAcentral.